This 422-nucleotide unclassified non-coding RNA is filed under the name Hevea brasiliensis (rubber tree). Lineage: Eukaryota; Viridiplantae; Streptophyta; Magnoliopsida; Malpighiales; Euphorbiaceae. The record is from RNAcentral.
UGAAAUUUAAAGCUUGGAAAGUAAGGGAAUGUAAGUGUACCAUUGUGGCUGUUUGUUAACUCUUGAGGAAUGCUGGAAUUCAUGCCUGGUUUAUGGAAUAAUGAUGUUAAAAUGUGUUGGUUGUUAUGAUAGUUUGAGUGCAUGUAUGAUGGUGUGAAGUUGGAUAUGUAAAUGAGCAUGAAUUGGUGAUUGAAUUGUUGUAAAUUGAGUUGGACAAAUUCUGCACUUGUUGGUGCACAUUGAAUGUAAUUGUAAGCUGCCAAAAUGACCUAUAAUAUAUUGUAAAUUAUGUUUAGGUUGUGGUACAACCAGAAUUGGUUUGAAUGUUGAGUUUGGAAAGUGUUAAAAGUGAUGCUUGAUGUGUAUGUAAGAAUUUCAAUAAGGCAGUUUGAAUUUUAGGCCUAGAACUUUAAGUGUGUGGC